This is a long non-coding RNA of Impatiens glandulifera, 312 nucleotides long. RefSeq lists it as uncharacterized. The record is from RefSeq and is a predicted model, not a curated record. Lineage: Eukaryota; Viridiplantae; Streptophyta; Magnoliopsida; Ericales; Balsaminaceae. The transcript is spliced from 3 exons.
AGGUAAUCAUCGAGAUGCAUGGACAUUCGGUGCUGUUGAUCCAAACAGUUUUACUGCAGCCUUAUUAGAGCUUACAGAACGGCUAGGAAAGCUACAGAAACAAGGAUGGAGACCUAGACGAACCAUCGUUUUCUGCAGUUGGGAUGCCGAGGAAUAUGGAUUGAUAGGAUCAACAGAAUGGGUUGAAGAAAACAGGGAAACCUUAAUUUCGAGAGCAGUUGCUUACCUUAAUGUUGAUGUUGCAGUUUAUGGAAAAGGGUUUCAUGCUUCCUCAACUCCACAGUUAGAUGAACUUAUUCUACAGGCUUCUCA